Molecule: transfer RNA, 76 nt
Filed under: Acidobacteriota bacterium
Lineage: Bacteria; Pseudomonadati; Acidobacteriota
Also listed under: 3 other names
Description: tRNA-Val
Rfam family: tRNA
About the family: Transfer RNA (tRNA) molecules are approximately 80 nucleotides in length. Their secondary structure includes four short double-helical elements and three loops (D, anti-codon, and T loops).
Source: RNAcentral
AGGCGCUUAGCUCAGUCGGUAGAGCACUUCCUUCACACGGAAGGGGUCAGCGGUUCGAGUCCGCUAGCGCCUACCA